GCUGGCGGCGUGCCUAAUACAUGCAAGUCGAGCGAACGGACGAGAAGCUUGCUUCUCUGAUGUUAGCGGCGGACGGGUGAGUAACACGUGGAUAACCUACCUAUAAGACUGGGAUAACUUCGGGAAACCGGAGCUAAUACCAGAUAAUAUUUUGAACCGCAUGGUUCAAAAGUGAAAGACGGUCUUGCUGUCACUUAUAGAUGGAUCCGCGCUGCAUUAGCUAGUUGGUAAGGUAACGGCUUACCAAGGCAACGAUGCAUAGCCGACCUGAGAGGGUGAUCGGCCACACUGGAACUGAGACACGGUCCAGACUCCUACGGGAGGCAGCAGUAGGGAAUCUUCCGCAAUGGGCGAAAGCCUGACGGAGCAACGCCGCGUGAGUGAUGAAAGUCUUCGGAUCGUAAAACCCUGUUAUUAGGGAAGAACAUAUGUGUAAGUAACUGUGCACAUCUUGACGGUACCUAAUCAGAAAGCCACGGCUAACUACGUGCCAGCAGCCGCGGUAAUACGUAGGUGGCAAGCGUUAUCCGGAAUUAUUGGGCGUAAAGCGCGCGUAGGCGGUUUUUUAAGUCUGAUGUGAAAGCCCACGGCUCAACCGUGGAGGGUCAUUGGAAACUGGAAAACUUGAGUGCAGAAGAGGAAAGUGGAAUUCCAUGUGUAGCGGUGAAAUGCGCAGAGAUAUGGAGGAACACCAGUGGCGAAGGCGACUUUCUGGUCUGUAACUGACGCUGAUGUGCGAAAGC
This 743-nucleotide ribosomal RNA is filed under the name uncultured bacterium. RNAcentral describes it as "bacterial SSU rRNA". It matches the Rfam family "Bacterial small subunit ribosomal RNA", at positions 35 to 760 of the family's 1533-position model. The record is from RNAcentral.